CCUACGGGUGGCUGCAGUGGGGAAUAUUGGACAAUGGGCGAAAGCCUGAUCCAGCCAUGCCGCGUGUGUGAAGAAGGCCUUCGGGUUGUAAAGCACUUUCAGUGGGGAAGAAAGCCUUGGGGCUAAUACCCUCGAGGAAGGACAUCACCCACAGAAGAAGCACCGGCUAACUCCGUGCCAGCAGCCGCGGUAAUACGGAGGGUGCGAGCGUUAAUCGGAAUUACUGGGCGUAAAGCGCGCGUAGGCGGUCUGAUAAGCCGGUUGUGAAAGCCCCGGGCUCAACCUGGGAACGGCAUCCGGAACUGUCAGGAUAGGGUGCAGGAGAGGAAGGUAGAAUUCCCGGUGUAGCGGUGAAAUGCGUAGAGAUCGGGAGGAAUACCAGUGGCGAAGGCGGCCUUCUGGACUGACACUGACGCUGAGGUGCGAAAGCGUGGGUAGCAAACAGGAUUAGAUACCCUAGUAGUC
This 465-nucleotide ribosomal RNA is filed under the name Vreelandella stevensii. RNAcentral describes it as "partial 16S ribosomal RNA". It matches the Rfam family "Bacterial small subunit ribosomal RNA", at positions 338 to 795 of the family's 1533-position model. Lineage: Bacteria; Pseudomonadati; Pseudomonadota; Gammaproteobacteria; Oceanospirillales; Halomonadaceae. The record is from RNAcentral.